CAGCUUUUUCACCCAGUGAUUUUACUACUCAGCUGAGGUCACAUAGUGCAGUGUCCUUACUCUGGGUGAGGACUGGGACUCUGCAAGUGCUGUGAGACAUGAAGCCGAGAUGUUUCUUCCCCUUGCUCCUGAUAUCUUCCUGUUGUGCUGACAGGGUGAACGAGGAAUUCCAGGGAGAAAAGGGGCCAAAGGACAGAAGGGGGAACCAGGCCCUCCCGGACUGGAUCAGCCUUGUCCUGUGGGACCAGACGGACUGCCAGUAGCAGGAUGUUGGCACAAGGUACGGUAUCAUUAUUAUUUGUAUGUCUUUGAACAGGUCCUGAGUAAUUUUUCUCCCUGCAUGGUGAUUGUUUGCAGUGCUACACAUGCUCUAAGCAGCAGCUCACAGGCCUGGCAGACAUGACAUUAGGCCUUGGGAGAGCAGGAUUCCAGCAGCUUCAGGUCUUGUUCUCCCCAGCUCUAGACUGAUGCUGGGAACACCAAAUAUUUCCUAAGCAUGAAAAAUCAUUCUUAACACUGUCAGUAGAAUGCCUUUUUACAGGCUUGCUUGGGCUUUUAUUAUGGCCAGGGAAGCUUAGGAACCACUCAGGGAAAGGCUGCACCACGUGCUCGUGUGACUUACUGAGUCCACACCCUCCCAGCUAAGUUAACAAUGGGUUGUCUCUUUGUGCAGAGUUCCAAACAUUUCUUUUCUAACAAAGACUCUUCUGCCAUUGCAAUUAUAACUCACAACCAGUGCACUGCUUCAGUGCUCAGAUCAGCACCCUGGGUACAGGUGAUCAGGUAGUUUGUAGCAUCUCGUGCAUCCAGAGCAGCCAGGGGUUGGGAGUGAAUGAGGAGAGAUAUGUCCUCCUGUAAGAUGAGGAUUUGAUGCAGACUUGUAGGAGAACCCUCAUUCUCCAACAAGAGUAUGACACUGAAGCUGAGUGGAAUUACAAACCCAGCUGUAAGACACAGCUGGAGUUAACAGCAUGUCACUAACUGGUUGUAAACCCUCAGUUAGAAUGUGAGCAGACCCUUGGUGUAUCAAAGGCUUUAAUUCUGUGUAAUUUGUUUGAAUGUACUGUUAAUAUUAAAAGAAAUCUGAAUGCCAAUCCUUAUAGUAUUAACAGUAAGAUUGUAAGUGUAAUGAAUGGAGCAUUUUUCUGAUUAAAAUGUUUGUUUGUGUGUUCUUUUUCAGUGAUCUCUAAGCAUGAAGCACAAUAUGUAAAUAAUGUGAUAUAUUUUGAUCUUUUUAAUUUUUGUAUAAAAAAAGGAAAAAAAAACUUUUGACAGUAAUAUAUUGACCUUUUUUUAUACUGGAUUCUGAUACUGAUGGACUUGGAAAAUAAUGUAAAGCUCCCAAAUCCAUACCAUUGCAUGGUAACACCAGGAUUUGCUAAAGGUACCGAUGACAGCUGGGGAUGAACAGUGUUCCCUGCUCAUGCUGCAGUGUGAACUAACAGAACUGAGCCAGCCUCGUGUGCCUUACUGCAUGAAGGAGGGCAAAAUCCCUGUCCUGAUUUGGCUCUUAACUUCAUAUUUGCAUUGUAUAUGCACAUUAAAAGGGUGAAAAAAACUGGCUGAAAACAAAGAAAAGAAGGAUGCAGCCCUAAAAAUGAAAGAAGCUGCUGUCUACUGUCUGGUCACACAGAAGGAUUUGCAACCUGCACAGGAAACAAAGCCAAGCUCCAUCCAUUGCUACCUGCUGUGGGUGUGAUGGAAACAGCAACUCUGGGGCUAAACAGAACAACCUUGACUGCCUGUGGUUAUUUCCUCUACAAUCAAGAGAAUCUUUUCCUCAAGAGGAAGCACCUCUGGGUCCUGUUCUGGGGUGUGUGCCUGAAGAUGUGCAAGCACUUUGUUACUGUGGAACACAAAUUCCCCAGGAAGCCUCUGCUGCAGAAUUUCAAAACAGAAAAUCUUGGCAAUACUUUCAGUGCAGGGAGUUGCAGGACAGGGAAGGCUCUGCUUAAGCCCCUUCUUAAACAACAGAGAACAUAAUGUUGCUCUUGGGGUUCCCAGAAGUUGGGAAUUUGGAGUAUUUAAUUGUCUUGGUUUGUGGGGUUCAUUUGCCUUUUAUUUCUUCUUGGUUUACAUGAUUUUAACUGUAAACUAACUGCACUCUCUUCUUGUCUUAUUUUUCUUUACCUUUUCAGUCUCUUUUGUUAAUCUAUCUCUUCUCAUGCACAUCUCAUGCAGAGCAGGGUAAUGAGUAACAUCUUUAUUAUUUUGAUAUCUGCAUAUACCACUGUGGGAUCAAUUAAAAUUGCAAACUAUUCCACGGUUCAACAUUUCUUAAGAUGUUGAAAAAACAGCAAUUGUGCAGCAGAGAGCCAUAAAAAAUAUUUCAAAGAGGAAGAAGAUGGCUUACGGCCGAGUCUGUUCAGCUCACAAUGAAGAUCAAGAAGCAACCAGAUUCCUUUACAGGGAGGAGAUACUUUGUAUUAACAAGUUUUUAAACUGAACAGAGAAGGAUACAAAUACUCGUCCAAUGGGUAGAAGUUGAAGCCACACAAACUUUAAAAAGUCAGCUGUGGAUUUUUAUUUGUGAAACUGGUUAAUCCUAAUCAGAUCAGUGAUGUAAUUGCCAUCACCUUUAUGCCCUUUUGAUUUAAUAGAUUAUGUCUGGAGGGAAUACUUUGUUCAAACCAAGUUGCUGGGCUCUGCAUACGAGUUUUAAGUGAAAUUAGGAGCCUGACCAUAAUAUCAAGCAUAUUUAUCAAUUAUCAAGCAAUAUUAUGGCUCUUUGUGGCCUUCAUCUUAGAGAAUACAGAAGGGAGGCAGUUUUGGUGCACUAAGUAGAUCCAAACUUCUGUUAAGAUUCUUGCUUCAUCACCACUCUUACUGCAGCUGCUGCCGGAGAGGGCUUGAGAGAGGGAUGUGACCGUCCAACCUGUCCUGUACAAGCUGACCUAGUGCAGGAGGUCUUGCUCCAAUAUCCUGAAGAACAGUGGGAAUGUGCUUUGUGCUCCACAUAGGUAGGGUGAUGUCUGGUGUAUGUGAGUUCUCAUCUGUGACCAGGGUCUGGGUGUCCUUGAGCUAAUCCCCAGAGUCAGGGGGAGCCUGUGCUCUGCACUGGUCAAUGCUGAAAUGUUAACCAAGCUCAGGAGAGGUGA
Long non-coding RNA from Ficedula albicollis (Collared flycatcher), 3098 nucleotides. RefSeq lists it as uncharacterized. The record is from RefSeq and is a predicted model, not a curated record. NCBI's taxonomy places the organism in Eukaryota, Metazoa, Chordata, Aves, Passeriformes, Muscicapidae. The transcript is spliced from 2 exons.